RNAcentral lists this ribosomal RNA (425 nucleotides) under uncultured bacterium. Its description in RNAcentral is "partial 16S ribosomal RNA". It matches the Rfam family "Bacterial small subunit ribosomal RNA", at positions 354 to 796 of the family's 1533-position model. The record is from RNAcentral.
GUUAGGAAUAUUGGACAAUGGACGCAAGUCUGAUCCAGCCAUGCCGCGUGAGUGAUGAAGGCCUUCGGGUUGUAAAGCUCUUUAGCCGAUGAUUAUAAUGACUGUAGUCGGAAAAUAAGCCCCGGCUAACUUCGUGCCAGCAGCCGCGGUAAUACGAAGGGGGCGAGCGUUAUUCGGAAUCACUGGGCGUAAAGCGUGCGUAGGCGGUUUUGUAAGUUGGUAGUGAAAGCCCAGGGCUCAACCCUGGAAUUGCUCAAAAAACUACAAGACUUGAAUUCGGGGGAGGAUAGCGGAAUUGUCAGUGUAGCAGUGAAAUGCGUAGAUAUUGACAGGAACACCAGUGGCGUAAGCGGCUAUCUGGACCGACAUUGACGCUGAGGAACGAAAGCGUGGGGAUCAAACAGGAUUAGAUACCCUUGUAGUCC